GACGAACGCUGGCGGCGUGCUUAACACAUGCAAGUCGAACGCACUUUGCUCCUUCGGGAGCAAAGUGAGUGGCGAACGGGUGAGUAACACGUGAGCAACCUGCCCUUGACUCUGGAAUAACAGCUGGAAACAGCUGCUAAUACCGGAUACGACCUCCGAUGGCAUCAUCUGGAGGUGGAAAGCUCCGGCGGUCAAGGAUGGGCUCGCGGCCUAUCAGCUUGUUGGUGAGGUAACGGCUCACCAAGGCUUCGACGGGUAGCCGGCCUGAGAGGGCGACCGGCCACACUGGGACUGAGAUACGGCCCAGACUCCUACGGGAGGCAGCAGUGGGGAAUAUUGCACAAUGGGCGCAAGCCUGAUGCAGCAACGCCGCGUGCGGGAUGACGGCC
RNAcentral lists this ribosomal RNA (389 nucleotides) under uncultured bacterium. Its description in RNAcentral is "bacterial SSU rRNA". It matches the Rfam family "Bacterial small subunit ribosomal RNA", at positions 28 to 416 of the family's 1533-position model. The record is from RNAcentral.